Molecule: transfer RNA, 71 nt
Filed under: Graphocephala sp. EMHAU-2015-Zz052315
Lineage: Eukaryota; Metazoa; Arthropoda; Insecta; Hemiptera; Cicadellidae
Description: tRNA-Lys
Source: RNAcentral
CAUUGAGAAACUUAAAAGCAAGUAUUGGUCUCUUAAACCAACUAAUGGUAAUUAGCAUAUACCCUUAAUGA